Molecule: small RNA, 88 nt
Organism: Dechloromonas denitrificans
Lineage: Bacteria; Pseudomonadati; Pseudomonadota; Betaproteobacteria; Rhodocyclales; Azonexaceae
Rfam family: Burkholderia RNA 7 (anti-hemB)
About the family: This RNA motif was identified by computational search in b-proteobacteria Burkholderia. Co-purified with Hfq, expression confirmed by Northern blot.
Source: Rfam
UCUCCCGCUUCACCUCCCUGAGCGGGUGCCUUGACCACGUUAAGGCAUUUUGGCCCCCGGACCCCCCUUAUCCGGGGGCCCUUUGUUU